AGACGUGCCUCCAGAGACGAGUAUAAUCGUAAUUAACGAGGUAAAAAUGGAGGCUGUUUGGAGGACACCUAGACAGUCUGUGGCAACUCUGCGGGCGCAUGUACACCAAGUGAAAACUCAUAUUUACCGGAGAAAAAGAUAGAAAAGGAGAGAAAGAGAGUCUGGAAAUAAGCCGGGGCAACGCGUUACGUGAAAAUAAACGAGGGGGAUCCUGAUAAAAGGAAUCGCUGUACGUUCUGCAGGGGAUCUGUUUGGCUAUAAACGAGCGUAACUGGUCUAAGACUGGUAGCACGUCUCCUUUAAUACCUUAAGAUCAGUUUCCAUGGAUAAAGUCAUGACGGAGGGACAAACAACGCGUUACUGAGAAGGAAUAAGGGUAAGAAGAUUAAGUUAAUCUUUGUGGAUACGAAGACAAUGGGAGACAGUAUCAGGAGACAAGCAGACCAAAUAGUGGGGGAAAAGGAAGAGGAAGGGGACAGUGAAUAAUGCGAACACAAUUUGACUGCAACGGCAUUAAUUAU
Long non-coding RNA from Polistes canadensis, 521 nucleotides. RefSeq lists it as uncharacterized. The record is from RefSeq and is a predicted model, not a curated record. The transcript has 3 exons. NCBI's taxonomy places the organism in Eukaryota, Metazoa, Arthropoda, Insecta, Hymenoptera, Vespidae.